UCUCAAUAAUCUAGUUACCACAUGAUGUUCUCCUGCAUUACUUAAUUAAUUCUAAAAAGUAAUUCUUUAUAUUCUUUUUUUAAUAGCCUUCUUUUGUCCAUUAAUUUUCUCUCAACAGACCCAGAAACUGAAUUGACCAGGAUGAGCACAAGGACCAUCUUCUGUUCUAUUUUUUAGCAUGGAAGAAUGUAUUUAUCUUUUUAUUUCCAAGAUGAGAUCUAGAGAAAAUGUUAAUUGAUUCUUUUUGGCAAUACGUGAGAAGUGGUAAAAGUAUCAUUCUAAAAACAUGAGAUAGCAAACAGUGCUAAAAAGAAGAAUUAGAAAACAUUAAAGUCCAAUUUUCCAAAAUGACAUAUUAUGAAAGGGACAAGAAACAGGAACAAAGAAAUCCAUCAACCUGAUGAGAAAGAUUUCAUUAAAUGUCAUAAUAUUCAAAUGAAGCAAGCAGUAAGAAUUUAAGGCAUCACUGAAAAAAACUAAGCAUCAUGGAUGUAAAAUGGAGUUGUGAAGAGGAAAAUGGAAGAUAUUAAGAAAAUUAACAAAUUGCUGUUUUUAGUGGGUUGCAGCACUUAGAUAAGGAAAAGUAACAUGGAAAAGAAAUCUGUUUUUAGAUCUUGAUUGUAUGAAUUUUGUAACCUGAGUCAGGUGCUAUGAAGGAUCAGUCAGCUAAAACUCUUAAGGGGAAAAUUACCUUCUUCCCUAUAGGAAGCCUUGGUCAUCCAAUCGGAGAAUUGGGUUCUAUUUUGACAUUGUAUUGGUAUUUGGGGUAAUGCCGAAAAACAGACAAAUUCUGAGAACAAAAUCUGAACCAUUCCAGACACAGAUUGUUCCGAGCCUGGGCUUGGCCCAAAGCAUCUCAUUGUUGCUGUUUGGGUUUCGCAUAGCCAGACGUUUUAAGACCUCUGACCUAUUUCUCUGAACACAAACGCUUAUGAUUUCCAAUUUCCCUCCUUUAUUUUAGACUGACUGCAAUGGCCAUGCCUCAUUUUGAGUGGGUCUUAACUUACUUUUAAAACUCUUGGAGAGAAACAUAAAACUGAACCCAAACAUUGAAGCCACAUGUGCAGACCACCCAGCACCCCUCAACCCCAUUCCCAUGAGCCUGCGUCCACCCCAGCAAUCCAUGAGCAUUCCAGUUCUUCCUGGGCAGGGAGGCAAUAUUCAUUCAAAAUUCCAGAAGGUGAUUAGCUAGGCAUGGUGGUGCACACCUGUAGUCCCAGCUACUGAGGAGGCUGAUGUGCAAGGAUCACUUGAGCUCAGGAAAUCCAGGCUAUGGUGAGCCAUGAUUGUGCCACUGCACUCUUAGCCUGAAAGACAAAGCAAGACUCUGUCUCAAAAAAAGAAAAAAGAAAAAUCCACAACAACAUUCAAAAAUGAAUCUCAACACUAUCUGGUUUCUGCUGAAAUAAGGUGGCUGCUCAUGAGAGCUGUUUUAACUCACAAGAGUUUCAGCACAUACAAACAAUUAUUGCUAUGACACCGAGGUUGAGAAAAACGAAGCUGGCUGUUAACAUUUUUCUCUAAAUCCAUCCCAAUGACGUUAAAGGUUCCUUUUUUUUUCCUGUGCCCCCCCAGAUGAUCUUGACUUGACAGACAUGAUCCCAACAGCACUUAGCUAUGUGCACAAGUCUUUUAUCUCUGUUACAGCCUUCUCAUUUUAAUCAUCAAAAGAGGCCAUCAACCAACAUUCUGCUUGUGGUUAUAAACAUGAGACAAAUAAAAUAAAAAGUGCUUGGCAUGUCAUCAUCCCACUUUUGUAUUACUGAAUGCACUUUAAACUAUGUCUUUGUGGAGGACAGUGUGGCAAUUCCUCAAAGAUGUAAACCAGAAAUACCAUUUGACCCAGCAAUCCCAUUACACCCAAAGGAAUAUAAAUCUUUCUAUUAUAAAGGUACAUGUACAAGUAUGUUUAUUGCAGCACUAUUCACAAUAGCAAAGACAUGGAAUCAAUCCAAAUGCCCAUCAAUGAUAGACUGGAGAAAGGAGAUGUUGUACUUAUACACCGUAGAAUACUAGCCAGCCAUAAAAAGGAGUGAGAUCAUGUCCUUUGCAGGGACAUGGAUGGAGCUGGAAGCCAUCAUCCUCAGCAAACUAACACAGGAACAGAAAACCAACACCACAUGUUCUCACUUACAAGUGGAAGCCAAACAAUGAGAACACAUAGACACAGGGAGGGGAACGUCACACCCUGGGGUCUUUCGGGGGACAGGGGUAGAGAGAGCAUCAGGAUUGAUAGCUAAUGUAUGCAGGGCUUAAUAACUAGGUGAUGGGUUGAUAGGCGCAGCAAACCACCAUGGCACACGUUUACCUAAAUAACAAACCUGCACAUCCUGCACAUGUAUCCCAGAACUAAAUAAAAAUAAAGUAAAAUAAAAUGAAUAUCUCUUGAGCACAAUGUCCACGGGCCCUUUCUGAUCAGGAAGGAAUUACUCUUAAGCUUUUCUCUUGUCCAAUGACUUGCACAGCAUCUACCCUGCUCUGGGGUCCACUCAUCUUAGACUUUCCAGAAGAGUGUCUGUUUUAAAUACCGUGUCCUUCCAUUGCCUUAAGACAUUGGAUGUAAAAUGUCCCCACCCUUCCCAGGAUGCUCUUGGACCAAACUAUCUAUACAUGGGUUAGGGAAAUGUUUGGUGUAGGCACUAUUUUCUCACAAGUCUUCAUAAUUAGCUUUCCUAUCUAUCACUAUAGUGAUCUAGGGCAUCCCAGGAUAUCUGGUAUCCCAGGGAAUCAAGCUUUCAGCCAAGGUUUUACCCUUGAAAAAAUGGGCAUCACUCAACCAUUUCAACAGUGAACUCAAGGAUAGCCCAUUACCAGAAGAAUCCCAUCACACUCACCCUCACCGCCAAUCACAAAUAUUCUCAGAGUACAGAGGCUGGUAUAAAAUAUCUUUUCACUGGGUCACUUCUCAGACAUGCAGAGGCCUUCUCAGAUGAGCAUCCAUAAGUUCCUCUCCCUUGGUUUCCUUUCUUCCUUUCUUUUUCUACUCUCUGUCCACCCCUAGAACCUCCUUUGUUGCUGGUCCUGUGUCUGAGCCCUUGGAAACCCAUUCCUAGUUUCAUUCAAGGAGGAGAUGGUGAGUUCUUACCCUCUUUAAAGCAGAACACUUUCAAGACAAACAAAUCUCUCUCAUGCAUAACAUGGAUGCAUUAUUCUGCUGCAAAAGUCCCUCCUGGGCAAGGUGAAGAAACAUCAAAAUAUAGGUGGUCCAGGGGAAAGAAAAGCCCAUUCUAUCACAGUUCAAUAACAAGAAUUUAAAGAGACAAAAAUUUAAGAUAUAAAAAUAUUUUGUUUUGCUAGGAGUGGUGGCUCAUGCCUGUCAUCCCAGCACUUUUGGAGGCCAAGGCAGGCAGAUCACCUGAGGUCAGGAGUUCGAGACCAGCCUGGCCAAACAUGCUGAAACCUCAUCUCUACUAAAAAUACAAAAAUAAGCUGGGCGUGUUGGCGUGCACUUAUAAUCCCAGCUACUCAGGAGGCUGAGGCAGGAGAAUCACUUGAACCCAUGAGGCAGAGGUUGCAGUGAGCCGAUAUCACACCAUUGUACUCCAGCCUGGGCAACAAGAGCGAAAUACCAUCUCAAAAAAAACAAAAAACUUAAAAUAUUUUGUUUCUAAGAAACUACUCUCUCUCUAUAUAUAUAUACAUACAUACACACAUAUACAUAUACAUAUACAUAUAUGUGUGUAUAUAUACGUAUGCAUAUAUGUCAUGAUGCUUAAAGUUGAGACAGUGUCUAUUAAGAUAAGCAUAGUUAAUAUCAUUGAGUGCUCUCUUUGUGCCAGAUUCUAAGUGUUUUAUUUCUAUUAUAUUAUUUAAUCCUCAAAACGACCCAAAGUAGUAGAUGUUAUGGUUGCCAUUUUGCAGCUGGAGAAACAAACUGGAAAGUUCAAGUUGCUUGAUUACAGUCAGACCACGCCUUCUGAUUUGGGUUCAGAAGAUGAUGGGCACUGUCUGCAUUAUAGUUCUUUGAGUGUGACAGUUAAUCCUUGAUUAAAUCGAAAGCAUCUGGAAGUCGAAAAGCUUCAUACCACCUCUCCCCGCUGCUCCACUAGAACUUAGAACAAUGACCCACAUACAUGAGGAACUGACAAACAUUUGUGAAAUGCAUGAAGCCACAGCAGAAUUCUGCAUAAGUUAAAAAUUAAAUUUUGCAGAAAUAGUAUCACAUUUUUGCAGUUAUAUCCAAGUGUUCACACUUUGAGGUCACACAUAUAGUAAUAAGUGAGAUAUAGUGAUGACAGGAACAUAGUUCAAAAGGGAACAAAAAACUUUAGCCAGAAUCAACAAAAUAAAUGUCUUCCUGCACCAGAAAUGGAACAGAGAUGCAAAGUGGUGAGGUGGCUGAGACCAGGAGCCCAGGAGGCCCUGAGUCUGGAAGCAGGCAGUGGCUACCAAGAGAUAAUGUUCUGUUGGGUAAAGGGGACUAGGAGUUCUCCAUCAAACACAGGGCAAGGGCCAGGCUCGCAGUUUGAAGGCAGGAGCUGAGGAGGGGCUCUCCCUAAUCAUGAAAAGAAACUAAAGAAGGAAAAACUAGCACGACAAAUGUCCCCUAGAGAGAUGGUUUUGGAGAGCAGCUCUUAGUUUCAUCAGAAUGCGAUAGUAAACCAUGUUGCCAGCUGGCCAAGUGAGAGGAUCUUCCAUCUCCAACAUCACAGUGGAACAGGCAUCUGAAACUAUCAUCUGAAACAACAGCUAGGGAAAAUGCUCUGAAUCCUCUUAAUCCCAGAGGCUCAGAGGGCCAGGAGGAAGCAAUUGCAAAUCUGCUAGUCUGAGAGAGAGAGACAGAUGCAUUAUGCAAUCUAAUACAAAAAGAGACAGCCAAGAAAAUCAACCAUCAAAAUAUGAAUUUACUCCAGACUUAAUUUUUAGAAUUUUUUGGCAAAACCUUCAAAUAUGUAGGCUAAAUGUGUUCAAAAAGAUAAACGAGGCAUAACUUCUUUUAACAAGAAAAAGACUGCAUAAAACACAAACAAGGAGAAAUGAAACAAGUACAAGUAGCACCGAAAAAGAACCUACUAUAAAUGUGGAAAUGAAAGAUAUAAUAAUAAAAAUUAAAAUAAAGUACACUCGAUAAAUUAGUACAGAGUUGAAGAAAGGUGAAUGAGUUGGACAGUAUUUAGAAGGAUCAAGCCUGCUUUUCAGUUCACAUCAGGAAGAAAACACCAAAUAGGUCUUGCUUUCUUUUUUUCCAAAAACAGUCUACUACAAGCGAGGGGGUGCUUUGGGGCUGCUUAAGCUCCCACAACCUUCGUUCAGCAACCAUCUUUGAUUAAGAAAAUUAAAGAAUAAAUGCGUCCUGUGUUCUGUGCGCUCCACAGGGAGGGCAAUGUGACCCAUCCACACCUGCACACAGUGCCUGCCAAGGCAUGACGUGCUGAGGAAGACGUUUGCAAAUUUGAAGGCUGAUGAGGAUAAGGUUCUCGGAGAGUUCCUGCUGUACAUCUGUGGCCUAGGGCUUCUCCUUAUGGAGAAUAAAGUGAGUCAAAUUCAAUUGGCCUUAGAAUUAUAGAAGGUUAGAGCUGAGUCUUAAGAGAUCAUCUAGAUGAGAGAGAGUCCACCAGGGAUCAAAUUUCAUGUCCACACAAAUCACCAUAGGUGGUUGUUUAAAAUUCAGAUUUUUGGGUCCUACCCAGAGAGAUUAGGAAUUUAGUUGGUCCACAGUAGAGGCAAGGAAAAGGACUUUUUAAUAAGCAUAAGUGGUUCAGAUUUGGAACCCCUCGAAGGUGCAAAUAAGGAAGGCAAGAGCCGGGUCCGCAGUGUCCACUGCCUGUCGGUCCCCACUCAGGUGAUGAAGGCUGUGGCUCCCCAGUCUCUGCAGAGGGGAGCCUCUGAUCUUGCACCUCUGCGUGACCUGGUCUUCCUUUUGUUUCUAGAACUCUCCCUUCUGUGUGUCCCACCCUGGAUCCUCCAGAGGCAGGCUGUGCUCCCAGAAAGGUACCCAGAGGAAAACACAAAGGUAUGAGGGAGGGCAGCACAGAAAGGAAACUGAAUGAGCAGUGAAUGCAGCUUCAAAACUACUUCACGAUUUUGCCAAGGGAAAUUGCUCAGCCUGAACAUCCAGAAGCUGUAUUCACAGUGAUGACAAAAUGACGAUCUGCUGAAUGUUCUUUAUUACAAUCCACAAUAUGCUUAUUGUUUCCCUGAGAAGAAAAAUAAGAGAAUCCCCAGUAUGAGGGGAGACUGUCCCCAAAAAGGGUCUCAGCCAUUUUCUGCUGCUCUCUAAACUCCAAUCCUGGAAUUUGAGCUUGAAGAGGUCAUACACAUCCUACCUUUCUUAUUUUGUAGGUAAGGAAAUUAUGACCCCCAAAUGUACCUUCCUCCAACAUCACACUGCUGGCUAGCAGCAGUAAGGCGUCAUAUCAUUUUCCCUAGCUGUUGUCCAGUGCUUGUCCCAUUACGUAAACAUGUUUCCCUCCACUUCCUUUCUUACUGAUGAUAAUGUCCACUUAAGGCUAUCAUUUGCUUAUUUUGGAAGAUGGGACUAAAGUGGGUGAUGGGAGGAGAGCUAUAUGGAUAUUGCUUGUCUGUUUUCUGUAAUAUGAUGAAAGGGUGUGAACAUUUCAAAUAAAAUAAUUAUACUGUUAGCAGCAGUAAAUCCAUAUGGGUUUGCAGCAGUCUCAAUUCUUGUCUCCUCAGAAGAAAGAAUUCGACCGAGAGGCAUAAGGCAGAGGAAAAGACCGAGGCAAGUUUUAGAGCAGGUGUGAAAGUGUAUUAAAAGCUUUCAAGCAGGAAAAAAAAAGGAAAGAAAGUAUACUUGUAAGAGGGCCAAGCAGUCAACUUGAAGGACAAGUGUGUGGUUUGACCUUUGACUUGUGAUCAAAAGACCUCCUCUGCUGUCUUGCAUUCCUUCUUCCCUAAUUCUUCCCUUGGCUGUGGGCUGUUUGACGAGCAGUGACCUACUGGCAGUUGGGAGGUGAGCAAGUGCAGUGUGUUUACGGAGUUGUACACAUGCUCACUUGAGGCAUUCUUCCCGUACCAGUCAAAUGUCAAUGGAACAUCAUAGACCAGUUAAACUCCGUCAUUUUACCUCUUAAUGCACAUGCUGGAGCCCACUGCCCAACUCCUGAGAUCUUAUCAGGAAACUGCUGAUCACUAGUUUCAGGUUUUUUUCUAUCAUAGGAAAACUGCCUUUCCCUGGCACUGACUGUGACAAAUUAUUAUUUUAGAGAGACAAUUAACAACAGCCAGACCAUCACCUGAUGUCGCCUGACAUUCCUGGGGCAGGGUGGGAGAGCCCUCUCCUGUCUUGCUCAUGCCAGACUAGCUACUUACUAUAACAAUACCUCCUCGAGGAAAAAGCCCCCAAAUAAAUAUAAGGUAUUAAUAAGAACCAGAGAGGGUUUGAUUGAUCACAGCAUGAAUUAAUAUCUAGAUAUGAAAUGCAGAAAUACAUGCAUUCAGAAAUAAUCUCCUUUCCUUCCAGAACACUCAGAUUGACCAGGAACAGAAUUUAAACAUCUACAGUCUCUCUGUGGCUAUGAUUAUAAUUAUGAACAUUCCCAACAGUGUUGUAGAUAUGUAAGUGAUAUACUGAGGAAUUUCUUUUUCAGAAAGUAUAUAAAGGCAUCUAUCAUAGUUUUUUCUUCAGAUCUGAAACAAUUAGUAGACACGCACAGGUUAUUUUUUUUCCCAUCCCGUGAGCCAGGAUGCCAGGGCAUAUAUCUGGUCAGCCACAUCUCAGGGGUUCUGCUUCAAUUUUCCCAGGUUUUCUUCUGUGUCCCCCAGUGGUCCCUGGAAGCUCCCCACCUCUUGGCAAGAAUACAACAUUGCCAGGAAGGUGCCAGGGCGGUUGGUUAAUCAUUGGUCCAAAGAACUUCCUGCAGCUUGCAGGGAUCUUCCCCAUCGAAACCCUCCAAGGUAGGUAACAAACUCCUGCAAUUGACAUGCAAUGCAAGUCAGGGCCAGCCAAAAUUACAACCCGGCAAGAGUCACUUCUAGCAUAUUCUAUGCCCUUUGCCCCAUGGUGACUUAGUGAUUUUCAGUAUUCCCACUUUUAUAGAGCAAGUUUUAAGGGGUCUGUGAAGUUACUUUAGCUAAAUUAGAUAUUAUAAGUAAAAAUUAGUGGUUCAACUCAAAACAUGUUUGUAUGAAAGAAAUAACUGAGCAGUAAUUUGGGCAUAGAAAGAAACUUAAGAACUAUCUACAUUCACACCAAAAUCCACAUAGAAAGGCCUGCCUAAAUGCAAAAAUACUUUUGGGCUUAUGAAAAAACUGAGGUGGAAAAAAAAAAGCUUUUCUCAGGAGAAAGACAGCAUUAGUUAUUUUUUAAAAGGCAAUUUUGCUAAGUUGAAAAUCCAUGAAGUCAAUGAACUAUCACUUUCUGAGUUCAAAAAGUGAGACUUUUACUUGCUUAAUUAUCCUUGCACUCAGUGCCUUUAGACUAAAAAUGAUGAUUUUUUAACACUUAAAAAAUCCACUUCUUUCUCAAAGACCUAAAUCUUUGCAUCUCCUCUUCAUGCCGUCUAUAAGUACUUAAAAUUUUUUUAUUUCCUUUUCCAAAAGCCUUAAAGAAAAUAAAGAUCUAACAAUUAGGGUCUUAAGUUAAAAUCUGAUAAUUUUUUUAUUCAUCAAAUUUCUGCAUCCCUAACUGCAGCAAAUUGAGCGUCUUCAAUAACUCUGAACAGCUUUUGACAAUUUGAGAGAAAAGGUUGCUGAUUAAUCUACUGAGUCAUUGACUUGGACUGGGCGACACUAGGAACUUGAGGAAGACGUGACAUUGAUAAGUCCGGGAGGUAACAUUGAUAAGGCCAGGAGGCAGGGAAAUACCGGGUAGAAGAGGGCAGAGUUCCUGACGAGGGCUCCACCCUUAAACCUAGACCCGUGGCCCAAAGUGAGAACUAUCCCUGUUUUCCUGGCCAAAUGUUGCCUUUUGGCCCAUCCCGUCCCCUAUUCUGUACCCAUGAGAACCCCAGACCCCAGACUCAGCAGUCAUACACACAGAAGAGAGAAGUGUCUGAACAUCAAGAGGAGAAGAAACAGCUGGAUGUCGGAGACUGUGGUCGGAGAGGAGUUCAGCUAGGGAUGGCUGGACUCCAGGGGAAGAUUGUCUUCCCACUCCACCCGCUUUCCAGUUCCCCUUUCUGCUGAGAGCCACUUCCACCACUCAAUAAAGUCCUCCACAUUCACCACCCUUCAAUUAUUUCUUGUAACCUGAUUCUUUCUCAAUACCAGACAAGAACUAGGGUACCAAGAGGGCAGGGUAUAAAAGGCUGUCCCUGCUGACCCUUCGCUGAGCUGGUUAAUACUUAGCUGUCCAGACUGCACCCAGAGCAGCAAUCCUGCCCACCCCCCACACGCCCUUCACUAUCUAAAUAAGUAUCUUCCCAUUUUUCAACAAAUAUUUGUUGAUCAAUUAUUAUAUACCAGGCACUGUUUAAGCUUCCCACCUUCACAGAAUGCACAUUUAAAUAGGGGGGAGAGAGAGAGUGUGACAAUGAUAUCUCAUUACCUCCAGAGUUCAGCGCUACAAGUAAAAAGAAAAUAAGAUGUUGUAAAGACAGAGUGACUCUUCACUGGGUAUCAAAAGGGCUAAUGAGGGAAGGCCCCUCGGGCUGUUUCAGAUCCCGUGCUGGCUGCCUUUCCUCUGCUGUGCCACAGCUCAGAAGCCAGGUCUGAAUUCCUGUCACAAGAAACCGAACAGCUUUUUUAAAGAAUAUUGUGAAAUAUGCAAGAAUAUGCGAGCGUGUACACUUAGCAUGUAAACAC
RNAcentral lists this long non-coding RNA (9702 nucleotides) under Homo sapiens (human). RNAcentral's name for it is "HSALNT0199578". The record is from RNAcentral. Lineage: Eukaryota; Metazoa; Chordata; Mammalia; Primates; Hominidae.